GAGCGGGGGGCAUAGGGUGGUGGCGGCGCCCGCCGCGCGCGCAAUACACAAGAAAAGAUUAAAAAAUUGGGUUACGUUAUCAUUUUAUCAUUUAUCCCUCUUCUCAUUCCCCCACCAUCAAUAUCAUCGGGGUCAUUUAUCCUCGAGAA
Non-coding RNA from Caenorhabditis elegans, 149 nucleotides. The record is from Ensembl. Lineage: Eukaryota; Metazoa; Nematoda; Chromadorea; Rhabditida; Rhabditidae.